RNAcentral lists this ribosomal RNA (497 nucleotides) under uncultured bacterium. Its description in RNAcentral is "partial 16S ribosomal RNA". It matches the Rfam family "Bacterial small subunit ribosomal RNA", at positions 28 to 507 of the family's 1533-position model. The record is from RNAcentral.
GAUGAACGCUGGCGGCGUGCCUAAUACAUGCAAGUCGAGCGAACAGACGAGGAGCUUGCUCCUCUGACGUUAGCGGCGGACGGGUGAGUAACACGUGGAUAACCUACCUAUAAGACUGGGAUAACUUCGGGAAACCGGAGCUAAUACCGGAUAAUAUAUUGAACCGCAUGGUACAAUAGUGAAAGACGGUUUUGCUGUCACUUAUAGAUGGAUCCGCGCCGCAUUAGCUAGUUGGUAAGGUAACGGCUUACCAAGGCGACGAUGCGUAGCCGACCUGAGAGGGUGAUCGGCCACACUGGAACUAAGACACGGUCCAGACUCCUACGGGAGGCAGCAGUAGGGAAUCUUCCGCAAUGGGCGAAAGCCUGACGGAGCAACGCCGCGUGAGUGAUGAAGGUCUUCGGAUCGUAAAACUCUGUUAUUAGGGAAGAACAAAUGUGUAAGUAACUAUGCACGUCUUGACGGUACCUAAUCAGAAAGCCACGGCUAACUACGUG